UGUGUGUGUGUGUGUAGUCCCACCCUGUGUGUGUGUGUGUAGUCCCACCCUGUGUUCUGUGUGUGUGUGUGUGUGUGUGUGUGUGUGUGUGUGUGUGUGUAGUCCCACCCUGUGUUCUGUGUGUGUGUGUGUGUGUGUAGUGUGUGUGUGUGUGUGUGUAGUCCCACCCUGUGUUCUGUGUGUGUGUGUGUGUGUGUGUGUGUGUGUGUGUGUGUAGUCCCACCCUGUGUUCUGUGUGUGUGUGUGUGUGUAGUCCCACCCUGUGUGUGUGUGUGUGUGUGUGUGUGUGUAGUCCCACCCUGUGUGUUCUGUGUGUGUGUGUGUAGUCCCACCCUGUGUGUGUGUGUGUAGUCCCACCCUGUGUGUGUGUGUGUGUGUGUGUGUAGUCCCACCCUGUGUUCUGUGUGUGUGUGUGUGUGUAGUCCCACCCUGUGUUCUGUGUGUGUGUGUGUGUGUGUGUGUUCCCACCCUGUGUUCUGUGUGUGUGUGUGUGUGUGUGUGUGUGUAGUUCCACCCUGUGUUCUGUGUGUGUGUGUGUGUGUGUGUGUGUGUGUGUGUGUGUGUGUAGUCCCACCCUGUUGUGUGUGUGUGUGUGUGUGUGUGUGUAGUCCCACCCUGUGUUCUGUGUGUGUGUGUGUGUGUGUGUAGUCCCACCCUGUGUGUGUGUGUGUGUGUGUGUGUGUGUGUGUAGUCCCACCCUGUGUGUGUGUGUGUGUAGUCCCACCCUGUGUGUGUGUGUGUGUGUGUGUAGUCCCACCCUGUGU
Long non-coding RNA from Oncorhynchus tshawytscha (Chinook salmon), 764 nucleotides. Lineage: Eukaryota; Metazoa; Chordata; Actinopteri; Salmoniformes; Salmonidae. The record is from Ensembl.